GCAACGAGCGCAACCCCUAUCUUUAGUUGCCAUCAUUGAGUUGGCACUCUAAAGAGACUGCCGGUGUCAAACCGGAGGAAGGUGGGGAUGACGUCAAGUCCUCAUGGCCUUUAUGACCAGGGCUACACACGUACUACAAUGGCCGGUACAAAGGGCAGCGACACAGCGAUGUGAAGCCAAUCCCGAAAAGCCGGUCUCAGUCCGGAUUGGAGUCUGCAACUCGACUCCAUGAAGUUGGAAUCGCUAGUAAUCGCGGAUCAGCACGCCGCGGUGAAUACGUUCCCGGGCCUU
This 291-nucleotide ribosomal RNA is filed under the name uncultured Desulfocapsa sp. RNAcentral's name for it is "partial 16S ribosomal RNA". It matches the Rfam family "Bacterial small subunit ribosomal RNA", at positions 1089 to 1382 of the family's 1533-position model. The record is from RNAcentral. Lineage: Bacteria; Pseudomonadati; Thermodesulfobacteriota; Desulfobulbia; Desulfobulbales; Desulfocapsaceae.